UACAGAGGUCUCAAGCGUUGUUCGGAUUCAUUGGGCGUAAAGGGUGCGUAGGUGGCGCCGUAAGUCAGGUGUGAAAUUUCGGAGCUUAACUCCGAAACUGCAUUUGAUACUGCGGUGCUUGAGGACUGGAGAGGAGACUGGAAUUUACGGUGUAGCAGUGAAAUGCGUAGAGAUCGUAAGGAAGACCAGUGGCGAAGGCGGGUCUCUGGACGAGU
This 215-nucleotide ribosomal RNA is filed under the name uncultured bacterium. RNAcentral's name for it is "partial 16S ribosomal RNA". It matches the Rfam family "Bacterial small subunit ribosomal RNA", at positions 524 to 738 of the family's 1533-position model. The record is from RNAcentral.